AAUACUGUUUGAUCCUGGCUCAGGAUGAACGCUGGCGGCGUGCUUAACACAUGCAAGUCGAGCGGGCAAUUUAUCUAGCACUGAUUACUUCGAAUGGAAAUCAUAAGUGUAAUCAUGAAUUUCUACCUUUAAUAAAGAAAAAAGAAAUUCAUGUACGCAAAUAGUGAUAACACAUGAAAGUGGAGUGAUGAGUGCUGGAUAAAUUGCUAGCGGCGGACGGGUGCGUAACACGUGGGUAACCUGCCCUUAUCACUGGGAUAACACACUGAAAAGUGUGCUAAUACCAGAUAACAUAAGCUUUUGGCAUCAUUAGCUUAUCAAAGAAUUUCGGAUAGGGAUGGGCCCGCGUCUGAUUAGCUAGUUGGUGAGGUAACGGCUCACCAAGGCAACGAUCAGUAGCCGACCUGAGAGGGUGAUCGGCCACACUGGAACUGAGACACGGUCCAGACUCCUACGGGAGGCAGCAGUGGGGAAUAUUGCACAAUGGGCGAAAGCCUGAUGCAGCAACGCCGCGUGAGCGAUGAAGGCCUUCGGGUCGUAAAGCUCUGUCCUAUGGGAAGAUAAUGACGGUACCAUAGGAGGAAGCCCCGGCUAACUACGUGCCAGCAGCCGCGGUAAUACGUAGGGGGCAAGCGUUAU
RNAcentral lists this ribosomal RNA (639 nucleotides) under sulfate-reducing bacterium enrichment culture clone M27b. RNAcentral describes it as "bacterial SSU rRNA". It matches the Rfam family "Bacterial small subunit ribosomal RNA", at positions 1 to 544 of the family's 1533-position model. The record is from RNAcentral.